RNAcentral lists this ribosomal RNA (605 nucleotides) under Crittendenia sp. Its description in RNAcentral is "partial large subunit ribosomal RNA". It matches the Rfam family "Eukaryotic large subunit ribosomal RNA", at positions 62 to 648 of the family's 3401-position model. The record is from RNAcentral. Lineage: Eukaryota; Fungi; Basidiomycota; Agaricostilbomycetes; Agaricostilbales; Crittendeniaceae.
AAACUAACAAGGAUUCCCCUAGUAACGGCGAGUGAAGUGGGAAAAGCUCAACUUUGUAAUCUGGCUCUUUCAGAGUCCGAGUUGUAGUCUCGAGAAGUGAUAUUCGCGCCGGACCUUAGACAUGUCUGUUGGAAUGCAGUGUCAAAGAGGGUGAGAAUCCCGUACAUACUAAGGACGCCCGUGUGCAUUGUAAUACGCUCUCAAAGAGUCGAGUUGUUUGGGAAUGCAGCUCAAAUUGGGUGGUAAAUUCCAUCUAAAGCUAAAUAUUGGCGAGAGACCGAUAGCGAACAAGUACCGUGAGGGAAAGAUGAAAAGCACUUUGGAAAGAGAAUGAAACAGUAUGUGAAAUUGCUGGAAGGGAAACGAUUGAAGUUAGACUUGCGUUGGUGGUAUUCAGCCUUUCUUCGGACUGGUGUAUUUGCCGCCUUGUGCAGGCCAGCAUCGGUUUACUUUGUUGUAAAAGGGUUUUGAGAAUGUAGCUUCCUCGGAAGUGUUAUAGCUCUUUACUGGAUGCAAAAUCGUAGACCGAGGUACGCAGUGCGCCUUUUAGGCAAAGCCUCUUGGCUUAGAGCACUUUGGAUGCUGGUAGAAUAGCUUUAAACGAC